RNAcentral lists this ribosomal RNA (253 nucleotides) under uncultured bacterium. RNAcentral's name for it is "partial 16S ribosomal RNA". It matches the Rfam family "Bacterial small subunit ribosomal RNA", at positions 524 to 776 of the family's 1533-position model. The record is from RNAcentral.
UACAGAGGGUGCGAGCGUUGUUCGGAAUCACUGGGCGUAAAGGGAGCGUAGGCGGGUUCUUAAGUAAGGUGUUUAAUCCCGGGGCCCAACCCCGGACCGGCACUUUAAACUGGGAAUCUUGAAUAGUGGAGAGGUCAGUGGAAUUGGGGGUGUAGCGGUGGAAUGCGUAGAGAUCCCCAAGAACACCAGUUGCGAAGGCGGCUGACUGGACACAUAUUGACGCUGAGGCUCGAAAGCAUGGGGAGCAAACAGG